This 416-nucleotide unclassified non-coding RNA is filed under the name soil metagenome. RNAcentral describes it as "partial contains 5.8S ribosomal RNA, internal transcribed spacer 2, and large subunit ribosomal RNA". The stretch from base 1 to 120 matches the Rfam family "5.8S ribosomal RNA", at positions 35 to 154 of the family's 154-position model. The record is from RNAcentral.
GAUGAAGAACGCAUCGAAAUGCGAUAAGUAAUGUGAAUUGCAGAAUUCAGUGAAUCAUCGAAUCUUUGAACGCACCUUGCACUCCUUGUUAUUCCGAGGAGUACGCCUGUUCGAGUGUUAUGAAGCUCUCAAAACGCAAUUGGCUUAAAACCUGAUUGUUGUUUUGGAUUUGAACUUUGCCGUGUUAUAACGGCUGGUUUUAAAAGUAUUAGCUGGUACUAGAACGAAUUGGUUCUACUCAACGUGAUAAUUAUCUGAUCGUUGAGGACAUUCCUUUCACGAGGAAUGGCCAUAGUAAAUUCAAUGGACUGCUUCUAAUCUGGCUUUAAUUCUUUAUUGGAUUAACCACUUUUCAAAUCUGACCUCGAAUCAGGUGGGACUACCCGCUGAACUUAAGCAUAUCAAUAAGCGGAGGA